Molecule: long non-coding RNA, 857 nt
Organism: Osmerus eperlanus (European smelt)
Lineage: Eukaryota; Metazoa; Chordata; Actinopteri; Osmeriformes; Osmeridae
Exons: 3
Source: RefSeq, a predicted model, not a curated record
UUCAAAGUUUUAGUUAGUUACAUAAACCCACAUGUGAACUGGAACAGCAGCAAGCCAUGGUCUUCCCAGUUUAGCAAAAGCUUUGAGUGAAAACAAAAGGGACCUACCUGAAAUCAGGUGAACGAUCCGCGUCGAGUCCAUAGAAACCAGCGGAUAAGGUCAAAAGCCACCGUGGUAUGAAAUUUCCAUUUUCACACUCCAGUCCCGUCACACUGUAGAGGCUGGAGGCAUCUGGCCUGGAUAGGAGCGCGAGAGAAGACAGGCAUGACGGAGGGUGACAGCUGGGAGCUGGCCUGUUUGCUGCAGGCCACCCAGGGACCAGAGCCAGAGAAGACCUGGGCCCUUCAGCAUUCAUGGACCAGCGAGUGAAUUCACAACUCAAACAGACACAACGAAGUCUGCAGGCCAAGACCUUCAAGAUUCAAGAUGUGCUUUUAAUGAUGACUCGACAUGCUUCUGCUGUGUCACUGAUGGUCUCAGGAUUCUCUAAGUAGUGCUCGUUACGUUCCAGCUCUCUGGACAAAGCCUUGGAUGUUUGCUCUGACCUCACCUACUGCUGAACCCAGAAAGCUCCAUACAGACAUAAGCGGGAACAACCAAAGUGACCUUUGUCUGCUUAGGUCUGCUUGCAUUGUAGUCAAUCAUUUCCAGUAUGUAAUUUAGCAUGAAAAAAAACAUAGGCCUUUCACACGUAGAUUGCAGAAUGUCCACGUAGUCUUUCUUUUUGGGUAAUAGCUGUGGUGUUUAUUUACAUUUUCAGUUACAGGAUGUCUUCAGCGCCUUCUUUGGCCAAUACAUUAGCCUCUUGGAUAAGGCAAUGAUUGAUGCAAAGUUUCCCCUGGUGUGGAGCCUGUUGC